ACGUAGGGUGCGAGCGUUAAUCGGAAUUACUGGGCGUAAAGCGUGCGCAGGCGGUGAUGUAAGACAGAUGUGAAAUCCCCGGGCUCAACCUGGGAACUGCAUUUGUGACUGCAUCGCUGGAGUGCGGCAGAGGGGGAUGGAAUUCCGCGUGUAGCAGUGAAAUGCGUAGAUAUUCGCAGGAACACCAGUGGCGAAGGCGACUUGCUGGGCUUGUGGUGACGCUGAGACGCGAAAGCGUGGGGAGCAAACAGGA
Molecule: ribosomal RNA, 253 nt
Filed under: uncultured prokaryote
Description: partial 16S ribosomal RNA
Rfam family: Bacterial small subunit ribosomal RNA
Source: RNAcentral